This 75-nucleotide transfer RNA is filed under the name Candidatus Zixiibacteriota bacterium. RNAcentral describes it as "tRNA-Val". It matches the Rfam family "tRNA". From Rfam's summary of the family: Transfer RNA (tRNA) molecules are approximately 80 nucleotides in length. Their secondary structure includes four short double-helical elements and three loops (D, anti-codon, and T loops). Lineage: Bacteria; Pseudomonadati; Candidatus Zixiibacteriota. The record is from RNAcentral.
GGGAGUGUAACUCAGCUUGGUUAGAGUGCUUUCCUUACAAGAAAGAUGUCGCUGGUUCGAGCCCAGCCAUUCCCA